GCCGACUUAGCUCAAUGGUAAAGCGUGUGGCUUUUAGUCACGUGGUCGUGGGUUCAAUCACCACAGUCGACG
Non-coding RNA from Vicia villosa (hairy vetch), 72 nucleotides. Lineage: Eukaryota; Viridiplantae; Streptophyta; Magnoliopsida; Fabales; Fabaceae. The record is from the annotation of a RefSeq genome assembly.